RNAcentral lists this ribosomal RNA (370 nucleotides) under uncultured eukaryote. RNAcentral's name for it is "partial 18S ribosomal RNA". It matches the Rfam family "Eukaryotic small subunit ribosomal RNA", at positions 592 to 976 of the family's 1831-position model. The record is from RNAcentral.
CAAUAGCGUAUAUUAAAGUUGUUGCAGUUAAAAAGCUCGUAGUUGGACCUUGGACCUGGACAGGCGGUCCGCCUCACGGCGUGUACUGUCUUGCUGGGUCUUUCCUCUUGGUGAUCUGUUGUUUCGGCAGCAGGGAACCAGGACUUUUACUUUGAAAAAAUUAGAGUGUUCAAAGCAGGCUCGACGCCGGAAUAUAUUAGCAUGGAAUAAUAAAAUAGGACGUGCGGUUCUAUUUUGUUGGUUUUUGGAAUCGCCGUAAUGAUUAAUAGGGACAGUCAGGGGCAUUAGUACUCACAUGCUAGAGGUGAAAUUCUUGGAUUUUGUGAAGACUAACUUCUGCGAAAGCAUUUGCCAAGGAUGUUUUCAUUAA